Molecule: unclassified non-coding RNA, 174 nt
Filed under: Staphylococcus capitis
Lineage: Bacteria; Bacillati; Bacillota; Bacilli; Caryophanales; Staphylococcaceae
Description: T-box
Source: RNAcentral
ACAAUUUGAAUGAAUAAGUAGUUAUUGCAUGUUGUAGCACUAAGAAAGCUAAUGGUUGAUGUAAAUUAGCACAAUGCAGUAAACGAAUUGGGCUUUCAAAUUACAAUUAAAUAAUUUAAAAGUGAACAAAUAAAAUUGUUAACUAAGGUGGCACCACGGUAACGCGUCCUUAUU